This is a non-coding RNA of Pelobates cultripes (western spadefoot toad), 345 nucleotides long. The record is from the annotation of a GenBank genome assembly. Lineage: Eukaryota; Metazoa; Chordata; Amphibia; Anura; Pelobatidae.
GGGACACCCCUUACCUGACUCAUAUCGCUUGAGGUCAGCAUCAGAAUGAUUUCCACUUCCGGGUCAUCCAGACGCCAUUUUACCUGAUUACUCCAUGAGGUUUUCUAAGCUGAGCUGUGUCAGUAAUCCAGCCACAGGCUUUUCCGGCCUACCACCUUCUUUCUUCAAUCUAUCGCUGUGGAUGGUGUCCAAGUGACUCACAAACAGUAAGUCGACCUACCCGUUACGCCAGGCAUCAGUCCCACGGCACCAUGCAAGGGUCAGGUCCUCACUUUACUGCUGCAUUUUGUCUAAGUCUGUUCUAAAACCAUUGCAUGUUCAUGCAUAUCAUUCGUUUAAACCCCC